This 136-nucleotide ribosomal RNA is filed under the name Klebsiella pneumoniae. RNAcentral describes it as "partial 23S ribosomal RNA". It matches the Rfam family "Bacterial large subunit ribosomal RNA", at positions 2680 to 2806 of the family's 2925-position model. The record is from RNAcentral. Lineage: Bacteria; Pseudomonadati; Pseudomonadota; Gammaproteobacteria; Enterobacterales; Enterobacteriaceae.
AGUACGAGAGGACCGGAGUGGACGCAUCACUGGUGUUCGGGUUGUCAUGCCAAUGGCACUGCCCGGUAGCUAAAUGCGGAAGAGAUAAGUGCUGAAAGCAUCUAAGCACGAAACUUGCCCCGAGAUGGUUAGGAUU